RNAcentral lists this long non-coding RNA (657 nucleotides) under Citrus maxima (pomelo). Its description in RNAcentral is "long non-coding RNA (CMAX_LNC002831)". Lineage: Eukaryota; Viridiplantae; Streptophyta; Magnoliopsida; Sapindales; Rutaceae. The record is from RNAcentral.
UCACAAGCCACCCCAUGUCAAACCACCGCACAAGCCCCCGUAUGUUCCUAAACCACCUUAUUCCCCAAGCCCUAAACCGCCUUACGUGCCAAAACCACCUCAUACUCCAGUCCCUAGGCCACCAUAUUUCCCCAAACCACCUUACACACCAAGGCCUAAGCCACCAUAUGCGCCAAAACCACCUUAUACGCCAACCCCUAAGCCACCAUAUUUCCCCAAACCACCUUACACACCAAGGCCGAAGCCACCAUAUGUGCCAAAACCACCUUAUACGCCAGCCCCUAAGCCACCAUAUUUUCCCAAACCACCUUACACACCAAGGCCUAAGCCACCAUAUGCACCAAAACCACCUUAUACGCCAACACCUAAGCCACCAUAUUUCCCCAAACCACCUUACACACCAAGGCCUAAGCCACCGUACGUGCCAAAACCACCGUACACACCAAGGCCUAAGCCACCGUACGUGCCAAAACCACCAUACACACCAACCCCUAAGCCACCGUACGUGCCAAAACCACCUUACACCCCAACCCCUAAGCCACCGUACGUGCCAAAACCACCGUAUACCCCAACUCCUAAGCCACCGUACGUCCCAUCGCCACCUUAUACCCCUCGCCCUAAACCACCGUAUGUACCAUCACCACCUUAUACCCCUAG